CAGUCGUACCUGCGGACAAUCAGCUUUUUGAGUGUGAUUAUGUGGAUUGUGAGGAGUUUAAUCACCCUCAUGCUUUACGUAUUCGUGCUCUUGGGUGUACUUGCCCGUGUGGUAGGUUAACAUCAAUUUUGGUCGUCAUAAAAUGACUGGAGGAAUGUAGCUUUGGUCUCGUAUCGAAGUGUUAUAGCCUUCGGUAGAUGUGAUUGAUCGAGAUUGAGGA
Molecule: ribosomal RNA, 220 nt
Filed under: Glomus sp. (unid)
Lineage: Eukaryota; Fungi; Glomeromycota; Glomeromycetes; Glomerales; Glomeraceae
Source: RNAcentral